UGCUUUUGUUUUGUUUUUAGUGUAUUCAGCGUUGUACAACCAUCACAAUCAAAUUUAAAGCAUUUUCAUCACCCCCAGAAGAAACAUCACCUACUCAAGGCACAUUAGUUUGAGUAAACUCUGGGAGAUAGUGAAAGACAGGGAAGCCCGGCGUGCUGCAGUCCACGGGGUCGCAGAGUCAGACACGACUUAGCAACUGAACAGCAAAAGAAACCUGUACUCAUUAACAGUUAAUCUCCAGUUCCUCCAUUUUCAUCACCCCCAAAGGAAACCUGUAUUCAUUAGCAGCUCAUCUCCAACCCAUCUCGCAGCCCCAGGGAACCACAAGUCUAGUUUUUGUCUCUAGUAGAUUUCCCCAUUCUAGACAUGCCACAAAAAUCAGAUCAUAUAAUAUGGGACCUUUUGGAACUGUCAUCUUUCACUUUGGGUAUCACCUUCAGGGUUCUGUUAGGGAAAUUAAAAGGGAGGUAGUCUUAUUCAGGCUCCAGAAGCAGGAGACCAGGCCUCUGACUUGCUUCUGACCUGCAUGGACACUGCAGGAUUCUGUGCCCGCCUGCAAGCACAGCAAGUCAGGCAGCGCUUUAGGGAAGAAGGGGAGGAGGUCUUGGAAUCUCUUAAGCCCCUGAAGGCCUGGCCACGCCCCCGGGUCUAAGAAGUCCCACGGCUCACAAAGGAGACAAACAGCUUGUAAAAGGAAAACCGGAGCUGCGCUUUGCGUGUCGGUUUGCGCCCUGGAAUUAUAAGCGGGGCCCCGAAACCGCGAUCUGAAGUCUCGCCUGUAGGAUGGACUCGCUGCCUGGGACCCUGUCCCAGCUGAGACUCCAUAUUGCUGUUAACAGGGGACUUUGCAGCAGCGGUCAAGUCGGGAUGUUGGUCAGCCCAAUUUGGUGAUAUGCGUAGAGUUACUUUCUUUACUGUUUCUAUUUCAUUAACUGUAUAUUGAAAUUAAGACAAAUAAUUAUAAAAAAUCAAAAUUGCUUAUGUGCAACAACUGAUUUGCUGACAAAACUUUUGAACUUAAAAUGUAAGUAAAGCUUACAGCGGAACAGGUUCACCCAUAUUACAGGCAUUUCAUCACUUCACUGGCUGAGUGACAUUCCCUGGUACGGACGUGCCACUUUUAAUGUAUGCGUUCAUCAGCUGUUGGACUGUUUGGAUGAUUUCUGCUUUCAAACUAUUAUGGAUGUAUUUCUGGACUCUCAAGUGUGCUCCAUCAGUCUAUGUUGUCUGUAAGAAAAAAUCUAGCAGGGUUUUGAUAGAAAUUGAAUUGAAUCUUCUUAGGUCAAUUUCAGAUUUUGUCAUCUUAAGCAACUCAGUUUUGGGGUGGCUUGCUGGGCAACGGUGGCUGAUCACACAAGCAGGGUGACUACCCCAUUUGGGGAAGCAUUCAUUUUAUUACAAAUGAAAGUUCCAAAUAAUCAAACUGUAUCUGCAGUGUCUCCUUCUAGAUGGCAAGCAGGGCCUUUCUUUGGACUAAGGAGCCUCUGAUUGGUGGCUUUGGCUGCAUUUCCAAGUUGAGCCCCUGUCGUCACUUGAGCGACGGGUUCCGGUGCUGCCUGCUCCUGCUGCUUGGCUCACAUCCCUCGCCCAGGGCGUGAUGUUCUAACAGAAACAACCAGACCUCGGAUUUCAUUUCUUCUCCAGCCUUGGGUGCCUCCUGCUUGGAGCAGGGAUUUGCUGAGGGAAACUGGGGUCCUGGCUGCCCAGGCCCGUGCUAACAGAGGGAGGUGCAGCAGCAGAGCUGAGAAUCUGUGGAUGAGCAGACGACAGGAGGCUUCAGCUAGUAGUAAAGGCACUGCUUCUGUUUUUAGAGGGGUGGGCCCCGCAGUGUGUGGGGUCUUCACUUCCCAAGCAGGAAUCGAACCUGCACCCCCUGCGCAGAGUCUCAACCACUGGACCUCCAGAAAGUCCCACGUUUCUCCUUUUUUUUAAA
Molecule: long non-coding RNA, 1933 nt
Filed under: Bos taurus (domestic cattle)
Lineage: Eukaryota; Metazoa; Chordata; Mammalia; Artiodactyla; Bovidae
Description: long non-coding RNA NONBTAT012043
Source: RNAcentral